AUUGAACGCUGGCGGCAGGCCUAACACAUGCAAGUCGAACGAGUGGCGGACGGGUGAUUAAUGUCUGGGAAACUGCCCGAUGGAUGGGGAUAACUACUUGAAACGGUAGCUAAUACCGCAUACCAUCGGAUGUGCCCAGAUGGGAUUGGCUAGUAGGUGGGGUAACGGCUCACCUAGGCGACGAUCCCUAGCUGGUCUGAGAGGAUGACCAGCCACACGGGAACUGAGACACGGUCCAGACUCCUACGGGAGGCAGCAGUGGGGAAUAUUGCACAAUGGGAGCAAGCCUGAUGCAGCAAUGCCGCGUGUAUGAAGAAGGCCUUCGGGUUGUAAAGUACUUUCAGUAGGGAGGCGUUACCGACAGAAGAAGCACCGGCUAACUCCGUGCAAGCAGCCGCGGUAAUUC
This 406-nucleotide ribosomal RNA is filed under the name uncultured bacterium. RNAcentral describes it as "partial 16S ribosomal RNA". It matches the Rfam family "Bacterial small subunit ribosomal RNA", at positions 30 to 526 of the family's 1533-position model. The record is from RNAcentral.